UCCGGGGUAGUGUAACGGUAGCACAAGGGGCUUUGAACCCUUUAGCGAAAGUUCGAACCUUUCCCCCGGAGCCA
This 74-nucleotide transfer RNA is filed under the name Bacteroidetes bacterium ADurb.BinA104. Its description in RNAcentral is "tRNA-Gln". It matches the Rfam family "tRNA". Rfam says of the family: Transfer RNA (tRNA) molecules are approximately 80 nucleotides in length. Lineage: Bacteria; Pseudomonadati; Bacteroidota. The record is from RNAcentral.